AUAAUACAAUUUUUUGAAUCUUGAAUCUUGAAUCUUAAACAGCUAUUUGCUGUCUGAAUCUGGAGGUAGUGGAACAAAGAGAAGUGAAAACACACACAUGAAAGGAGACAGAUUCAGGGAGGAGCUGAGCUGUGACUGAAUGUAGAAGAAAGACAAACGUCUACAUUCAACACGGUUUGAUACACAGUCAGUGAUCAUCAUUCAUCACACUGGAGCACGCUCUGGAGCAAAGACAACACAAUGCUCCACAGCAUCCACCAGAGGGACACGUCAUCCAGUAGGAGCUGCACGACCUCUGCACUGUUCAACCACUGUGUCAGUCAUAACUGCUGCACUGAACAGAACAAUUCUCAGACUGAAUGUUGAACAUCAGCCUCUUUCUCCUCUUGACUUCAACCUUGUUGUAGAGAUGGAUCAUUGGCUGUGGAUUAUUCUGGCUGCUCUUUGCUACGAGUGUAAAGGAGAAGACAGAGUGAUCCAGACAACAGGAGACGUCACUGCUACUGAAGGAGACGCUCUUACGCUCAACUGUACAUUUGAGACGAGUUACACUGGUCCCACAUUGUUCUGGUACAAACAAGAAGUACAUGAUUCUCCAAAGUACAUGUUAAAGUGUCUCUCAAAAUCAGUGGACAACGCGCCAGAGUUUCCAAAAGAACGAUUUGAUGCUGCAAUUGAAGGAAAAUCAGUUCCUCUGAAGAUCCAGAAGCUUCAAGUGUCUGACUCUGCUGUGUACUACUGUGCUCUGAGG
Molecule: non-coding RNA, 751 nt
Organism: Betta splendens (Siamese fighting fish)
Lineage: Eukaryota; Metazoa; Chordata; Actinopteri; Anabantiformes; Osphronemidae
Source: the annotation of a RefSeq genome assembly